UACAGAGGUCUCAAGCGUUGUUCGGAUUCAUUGGGCGUAAAGGGUGCGUAGGCGGCGCGGUAAGUCGGGUGUGAAAUCUCGGAGCUUAACUCCGAAACUGCAUUCGAUACUGGCGGGCUCGAGGCAGGCAGGGGAGAUCGGAAUUCCUGGUGUAGCGGUGAAAUGCGCAGAUAUCAGGAGGAACACCGGUGGCGAAGGCGGAUCUCUGGGCCGGUACUGACGCUGAGGCGCGAAAGCGUGGGGAGCAAACAGG
Molecule: ribosomal RNA, 253 nt
Filed under: uncultured bacterium
Lineage: Bacteria
Description: partial 16S ribosomal RNA
Rfam family: Bacterial small subunit ribosomal RNA
Source: RNAcentral